Molecule: long non-coding RNA, 1794 nt
Organism: Homo sapiens (human)
Lineage: Eukaryota; Metazoa; Chordata; Mammalia; Primates; Hominidae
Product: long intergenic non-protein coding RNA 2980
Source: Ensembl
UCCCGCAGGCCUGGUGUGAGCCUGGGGUCCGUUCUCACAGCUGGAUCUGGGGUCUGAAUGCCGCGCCCUCUGGAGAGCCACAGAUGGGUCUCCGCUGAUGCUUCUCUCAAUUUCCUCUAAGAGCGAGAGCUCCGGGAAAGGAGCCGAUCCUGGUGGAAGACUACAGGUCUGAGUCCACUGGACGAAAAACGAGGCUCCUUGGAUUAGAGACCAUCCUGAGGACAUCCUUGGGAGCCAUGUGCUGAAGAUGGCCAAGCCACAGGAUGAAAGGAGCUGCAUCUUUGAGUCACCACUGGAGAAAGGUCUCUCUAAAUGGAUUUGCAGAGACGUCUUCUCGAAUACUCCCCUUCUAAGUUCCACUUGUAAUCCACUUCUUCUAUUCUCCCAGCAAUCAAUGUGGUUUGGGGAAAUUCCAGAAUCUCAUAAUACCUUGGUCAUGGGUAAAUAAGGAAAGGACCUUUACAUACAUGUGAUGCAAAGCAGAUCAAAACAAGCAGAGCAGCCUAAGAGCAGCAAGACCCCAAAGGAUAAGGGAAGUCCUGCAGAAGAGCAGAGCGGUGCUGCAAAGGCAGGCAGGGACGGGAUUUUGCCAUGUUGCCCAGGUUGGUCUCGAACUCCUGGGCUCAAGCUACACCCGCCCGCCUCGGCCUCCCAAAGUUGUAGGAUUAAGGUGUGAGCCACUGUGUCCAGCAGAUAUAAUGUUUUUAAAAGUUUGAGAGUUAAUAUGCUCUCUGGUGUGCCCUAGGUCCCACUACUCCUAUUGCCUUAAAACUCACGCAGUACACAUUUGUCUUCCAUGGGCUUCAGUUGUAAGAGAACCCUUUCUACUCUUUGCUGUUCACAAGUCUCCUUUUAAACAGAGCUUGUUCCCAAUGCUGUUUUGUUUUGCCCUCUGCCAUGUUCUUCCGGCCAUCACCUCCUGUGGGGAAAAGAGAGAGAGAUCACAUUGUUACUGUGUCUGUGUAGAAAGAAGUAGACAUAGGAGACUCCAUUUUGUUCUGUACUAAGAAAAAUUCUUCUGCCUUGAGAUGCUGUUAAUCUAACCCUAGCCCCAACCCUGUGCUCCCUGAGACAUAUGCUGUGUCAACUCAGGGUUAAAUGGAUUAAGGGCUGUGCAAGAUGUGCUUUGUUAAAGAAAUGCUUGAAGGCAGCAUGCUCGUUAAGAGUCAUCUCCACUCCCUAAUCUCAAGUACUCAGGGACACAAAACACUGAGGAAGGCCACAGGGACCUCUGCCUAGGAAAGCCAGGUAUUGUCCAAGGUUUCUCCCCAUGUGAUAGUCUGAAAUGUGGCCUCGUGGGAAGGGAAAGACCUGACCGUCCCCCAGCCCGACACCCGUAAAGGGUCUGUGCUGAGGAGGAUUAGUAAAAGAGGAAGGAACGCCUCUUUGCAGUUGAGACAAGAGGAAGGCAUCUGUCUCCUGCUCGUCCCUGGGCAAUGGAAUGUCUCAGUGUAAAACCCGAUUGUAUAUUCCAUCUACUGAGAUAGGGGAAAACUGCCUUAGGGCUGGAGGUGGGACAUGCUGGCAGCAAUACUGCUCUUCAAGUCAUUGAGAUGUUUAUGUGUAUGCAUAUCUAAAGCACAGCACUUAAUUCUUUACCUUGUUUAUGAUGCAGAGACCUUUGUUCACGUGUUUACCUGCUGACCUUCUCUCCACUAUUAUCCUUUGACCCUGCCACAUCCCCCUCUCCGAGAAACACCCAAUAAUGAUCAAUAAAUACUAAGGGAACUCAGAGGCCGGUGGGAUCCUCCGUAUGCUGAACACCGGUCCCCUGGACCCCUUUUUUUCUUUCUC